Long non-coding RNA from Danio aesculapii, 139 nucleotides. RefSeq lists it as uncharacterized. The record is from RefSeq and is a predicted model, not a curated record. The transcript has 4 exons. Lineage: Eukaryota; Metazoa; Chordata; Actinopteri; Cypriniformes; Danionidae.
GUCUGAACUCAGAUUGUCACAAAGAUAUUCAGCAAAAAACACUACAAUACCUGGAUGAUCACAGUCAAUCACAGAAAACACGGCCAAACCAAGAAUUGGAAAAACCAUGAGAAAAUUUGAUUGGGGACAGAAAAAAGAG